ACCAUGCAAGUCGACGGUGAAGCAGAGCUUGCUCUGUGGAUCAGUGGCGAACGGGUGAGUAACACGUGAGCAAUCUGCCCCUGACUCUGGGAUAACAGUUGGAAACAGCUGCUAAUACCGGAUACGAGCUGCGGCCGCAUGGUCGGCAGCUGGAAAGAAUUUCGGUCAGGGAUGAGCUCGCGGCCUAUCAGCUUGUUGGUGAGGUAAUGGCUCACCAAGGCGUCGACGGGUAGCCGGCCUGAGAGGGUGACCGGCCACACUGGGACUGAGACACGGCCCAGACUCCUACGGGAGGCAGCAGUGGGGAAUAUUGCACAAUGGGCGGAAGCCUGAUGCAGCAACGCCGCGUGAGGGAUGACGGCCUUCGGGUUGUAAACCUCUUUUAGCAGGGAAGAAGCGAAAGUGACGGUACCUGCAGAAAAAGCGCCGGCUAACUACGUGCCAGCAGCCGCGGUAAUACGUAGGGCGCAAGCGUUAUCCGGAAUUAUUGGGCGUAAAGAGCUCGUAGGCGGUUUGUCGCGUCUGCUGUGAAAUCCCGAGGCUCAACCUCGGGCCUGCAGUGGGUACGGGCAGACUAGAGUGCGGUAGGGGAGAUUGGAAUUCCUGGUGUAGCGGUGGAAUGCGCAGAUAUCAGGAGGAACACCGAUGGCGAAGGCAGAUCUCUGGGCCGUAACUGACGCUGAGGAGCGAAAGGGUGGGGAGCAAACAGGCUUAGAUACCCUGGUAGUCCACCCCGUAAACGUUGGGAACUAGUUGUGGGGGUCCAUUCCACGGAUUCCGUGACGCAGCUAACGCAUUAAGUUU
RNAcentral lists this ribosomal RNA (804 nucleotides) under Microbacterium sp. B71-PCA-PT2P21. RNAcentral describes it as "bacterial SSU rRNA". It matches the Rfam family "Bacterial small subunit ribosomal RNA", at positions 53 to 867 of the family's 1533-position model. Lineage: Bacteria; Bacillati; Actinomycetota; Actinomycetes; Micrococcales; Microbacteriaceae. The record is from RNAcentral.